GAUGAAGAACGCAGCGAAAUGCGAUAAGUAGUGUGAAUUGCAGAAUUCAGUGAAUCAUCGAAUCUUUGAACGCACAUUGCGCCCUUCGGUAUUCCGUUGGGCAUGCCUGUUCGAGCGUCAUUUAAACCUUCAAGCUUUCUUGGUGUUGGGUGUUUGUUCCCCUUUAGUGGGUGGACUCGCCUUAAAUUCAUUGGCAGCCGGUAUGUUGAUUUCGUGCGCAGCACAUUGCGUCACGCCUAGCAGACCUUCUCCCACUAAGCCUCUUUUUUACUUUGACCUCGGAUCAGGUAGGGAUACCCGCUGAACUUAAGCAUAUCAAUAAGCGGAGGA
Molecule: unclassified non-coding RNA, 330 nt
Filed under: soil metagenome
Description: partial contains 5.8S ribosomal RNA, internal transcribed spacer 2, and large subunit ribosomal RNA
Rfam family: 5.8S ribosomal RNA (bases 1-120)
Source: RNAcentral